RNAcentral lists this ribosomal RNA (253 nucleotides) under uncultured bacterium. RNAcentral describes it as "partial 16S ribosomal RNA". It matches the Rfam family "Bacterial small subunit ribosomal RNA", at positions 524 to 776 of the family's 1533-position model. The record is from RNAcentral.
UACGUAGGAUGCAAGCGUUGUCCGGAAUUAUUGGGCGUAAAGAGUUCGUAGGCGGUUGCCUAAGUCUGGUGUUAAAUACAGGAGCUCAACUCCUGCAUGGCACUGGAAACUGGGCGGCUAGAGUGUGGUAGAGGUCACGGGAAUUCCAGGUGUAGCGGUGAAAUGCGUAGAUAUCUGGAGGAACACCGGUGGCGAAGGCGGCAUCCUGGACCGACACUGACACUGAGGAGCGAAAGCCAGGGGAGCAAACGGG